AGCGCAGGUGGUUUCCUAAGUCUGAUGUAAAAGGCAGUGGCUCAACCAUUGUGUGCAUUGGAAACUGGGAGACUUGAGUGCAGGAGAGGAGAGUGGAAUUCCAUGUGUAGCGGUGAAAUGCGUAGAUAUAUGGAGGAACACCGGAGGCGAAAGCGGCUCUCUGGCCUGUAACUGACACUGAGGCCCGAAAGCGUGGGAGCAAACA
RNAcentral lists this ribosomal RNA (205 nucleotides) under uncultured bacterium. RNAcentral's name for it is "partial 16S ribosomal RNA". It matches the Rfam family "Bacterial small subunit ribosomal RNA", at positions 568 to 774 of the family's 1533-position model. The record is from RNAcentral.